AUGCAAGCAACUCAUUGUCACCUUCAAGUUUAGCCAAGUCCUCUUCCUUCAUGUUAAUGUAUGCUUCUAUUCCACCACCAGACUUGGCGUCCAUGAAAACAACCAAGUUAUUUCAAGGGGAAAUACCACAAAAUACCAUCAAGGCACUUCUCCAGACACCAUCCUGGACAUUUUGGGAAUACCAUCUAUAAAUACAUACUUAUUGGCCUUACGAUUUUUUCUCAGUUUUUCUUUUCUCUCUCAGCUCUCUCUCUCUCUCUCUCUCUCUCUCUCUCUCUCUCUCUCUCUCUCGUACAAAGUCCAUUGUCGAGAACCAAAAUCUGGGCAGAUUUGUCCCUUCAGUCAUGAAUGGAAGCUAUCAGAAAGCAAGCGACCAGGCUUCGCGAACGGGUCGCUAGGCAACAACAGGGAAGCUAUGAAAAUAUGCUGGCAAGAAGAGAUGCUGGAGUAAAGGUGCUGGUAUUGGCUGCCAGUUGUUUUGUGUGACCUCCUUUGAUAACUCUUUCUAUUCCAAGAACAUUGCUUUGUCAAAAACCUUUUGCAAUGCGAUACAAGCAAAGUAAUUUAACAGUGAAGUCAUUGCUUGCAGUUGGCUUGUGCUUAGUAGCGUGCGAUAGUCUUCUUAAGUUGUCUGAGAAGUGGAACUUAUUUGGGGCUUUGAAAUUCAAAUUUGUUUUUUUAUUUAUUGCUUGUUUAUUUCCAUUUUAUUGUCAUUCUAUUGCCAUUUUA
Long non-coding RNA from Prunus mume (Japanese apricot), 729 nucleotides. RefSeq lists it as uncharacterized. Lineage: Eukaryota; Viridiplantae; Streptophyta; Magnoliopsida; Rosales; Rosaceae. The record is from RefSeq and is a predicted model, not a curated record.